RNAcentral lists this long non-coding RNA (1127 nucleotides) under Cyanistes caeruleus (blue tit). RNAcentral's name for it is "lncRNA (ENSCCEG00000011311.1)". Lineage: Eukaryota; Metazoa; Chordata; Aves; Passeriformes; Paridae. The record is from RNAcentral.
UCAUUGCUCACACCUGCAAUAUGAGACCUUCUCCAUUUGCUCCAGGUGACCCUGAGUUGCUGGCUUAGUUAGCCAGUUCACUGAAGAAGAUAAAACCUGAAGGAAGGAGCCAAGUUGAGAGGAUCCUGCUGGGGCAAAGAAGAGGAACCCAGAAUCAGGCUGAAGUAGUUAUGUGCCUGAAGAUUAGGAGCUGCAGAAGCUGUUCUAUCCAGAGAUGUAAGCCUUACUUUCACUGUACCAGGUGUAACUGCUGGAUUUGUACUUCAGUUUUGAUUGAAACAUUUGCUUGGAAGACAAAAGAUACUGGAAGAUAUGGGAUGAAUUCUGUCCUGGAGAUUAACACAGUUCCUUGUGUCAUAUGCUGUCCCCUGAACUUGGCAGGCUGAAACUUACUGUAGUUUCAGAGUAAGGACUGUAGAACAGAUGAUGUUAAGCUCUAUAAGGACACAAUGAGCAAAGAUGCAUCAAACUUCUUUUCAAGAAGUGGAGGUAGAAUUAAUUUAGUGCAGACUUGCUUAAUUAGUGAUGCACUAUUUAGUGAGAGGAAGUCUGUAGUGUAAUAGAGGUACAAAUUUUGUAUUUUGUGUCCUUAACCGUGUUUCCCUCUUGUAUGUUAAAUGACACUUUGCUUUUUGUCAAUGUGUUUGUGAAUCAAGAAUUUAUAACUAACUAAACAGUUUGUUUUAUUGGCAUCCUGAUUAUAGUAGCAGCCAGAAGUUUUUGUUUAACUGAAAUAUGUGAAGCCAAGACUAAGUUUCAGUUUAGGGAAAUGUAGUAGGUACCUUUCAUAUCAGUUCAAUUUGAAUUUUCAGACAAUUUACAGUUGAAAUGUGAUAUGUUAAGCUGCAGGUAUGACACAUGUAUUUGCACUUCUCUGUAAACUUCAGAGAAGACAGUGGCUGCUGCAACACAGAGCCAAAUCCUGAUGCAGGGUCUGUGCAGGUGGUGAUAAAUGGAGUGUAUUACUCAGCAGGGAGUGGGCCUUCCUCAAAGAGUUGAAGGAUAAUGCAGUGAGGGUGAAGGGAAAUAAGGUUUUUUGUGUGUGUGUGUAUGCAGUGGGGCUACUUUUAGCCUAGUGCAUAUCAAGUGGCCUCAAAAAAUAAACCAAAAAUCUCAGCCUUAUGCCA